UACAGAGGUCUCAAGCGUUGUUCGGAUUCAUUGGGCGUAAAGGGUGCGUAGGCGGCGCGGUAAGUCGGGUGUGAAAUCUCGGAGCUUAACUCCGAAACUGCAUUCGAUACUGCCGUGCUUGAGGACUGGAGGGGAGACUGGAAUUUACGGUGUAGCGGUGAAAUGCGUAGAUAUCGGGAGGAACACCAGUGGCGAAGGCGGCGAUCUGGGAAGAUACUGACGCUGAGGUGCGAAAGCGUGGGGAGCAAACAGG
This 253-nucleotide ribosomal RNA is filed under the name uncultured bacterium. RNAcentral describes it as "partial 16S ribosomal RNA". It matches the Rfam family "Bacterial small subunit ribosomal RNA", at positions 524 to 776 of the family's 1533-position model. The record is from RNAcentral.